This 1084-nucleotide long non-coding RNA is filed under the name Salvia miltiorrhiza (redroot sage). RNAcentral describes it as "long non-coding RNA (SMIL_LNC000566)". Lineage: Eukaryota; Viridiplantae; Streptophyta; Magnoliopsida; Lamiales; Lamiaceae. The record is from RNAcentral.
CUGGAUGCACCAACACUCCAAUGAUAUCUGCAUAAACAUGUAACUUUUAGUAUAUAUCUAUUAGUAUAAAAUUGAUACUGAAAAUAUCAUAAAUGAAUAAAAGUUUUUGUAUACCAAAUAAUGAGCCAUUGUAUAAGUUAUCUUUUACUUGAACCUCCUCAAAUGAUUUGAAUGAAAAUCUUUUCAUUGGAAAAUUCUGAACAAAUAGUUCAUGUAUCUUUGUGUCUUCACAUAGUAUGAUCUUGUACUUGUGUGUAGUAAGCUUGUUCUUCUUUGUGUUGUGCACGACCUUGAAAUUUUUGAUUCCAUACACCAAUCCUUCCACCAAUUGAUCCUUGAAGGUGGAAAUGAGAUUCUUGGGAAUGGUAGCCUCAAUUCUAUCUCCCUAUACAAAUCAUACUAUAUAAAAAAAAAUGUUAGUUUUUCAUGGAAUAAGAAAUUUGAGGGCUACAAAUGAUAAUUUUUCAAAGUUCUCAUACUUGAAAAUCAUGAAGAAUGCAUUCCCAACUAAUGAUUUCUUCUUUGUUUGUAAAUGAAGGAUUUCCAUAGGAGCGGACCAGUCGAACUUUGACGCCAAAUGUGGUUCUUGAGUCAUCCAAAUCACAAAUGGAAGACCACAUACUGGGCAUGAAUCCAAAUAUGAAGCUAAAAAAUCUACAAAGCAACGAAGUAUAUUAUUUAUUCUUGUUUGAGUGUGAAAAAAAUGAUAGGAACUUGUUUUGUCGAAAUAAAAAUCGAAACAUGUAUUGAUAAAUUAGAUUUUACCGAUAGUGUGUUUACUUACUUUUGAAAUCUUUUGUGGUUGCAGGAUUUGUGAUGUUUGCUGAUUUCCUGGACGGUGAGAAGAGAUUCGUUGUAUGUAAUUUAACAGCUUUUUGCAAAAUUGUUAAGCUUUUGUAUAUAAUGUUUAUUUAUAAGGAUGGAGCGACCUUUCAAAUUCUGCAGUAUGUUGGGCGGUGGCCUGAAUAAUAUCUAUUACUAUAUAUGACAUAGAAAAUUGUUACGCUUUUAACUUUUUGUUGGGCGGUGGCUGUAAUAAUUGUUUUGAAUAUUGAGCCUCUUGCAUGUUUAAUUGUUGGGCAGC